Long non-coding RNA from Oncorhynchus tshawytscha (Chinook salmon), 2820 nucleotides. The record is from Ensembl. NCBI's taxonomy places the organism in Eukaryota, Metazoa, Chordata, Actinopteri, Salmoniformes, Salmonidae.
AUAGAGACAUAGCCUUAUGGGGACAUGGCCGUAUGGGGACAUGGUGCUUAUAGAGAGACAUGGCCUUAUGGGGACAUGCCCUUAUGGGGACAUGGUGCUUAUAGAGAGACAUAGCCUUAUGGGGACAUGGUGCUUAUAGAGAGAUAUAGCCUUAUGGGGACAUGGCCUUAUGGGGACAUGGUGCUUAUAGAGAGACAUAGCCUUAUGGGGACAUGGCCUUUUGGGGACAUGGUGCUUAUAGAGACAUAGCCUUAUGGGGACAUGGCCUUAUGGGGACAUGGUGCUUAUAGAGAAACAUAGCCUUAUGGGGACAUGGCCUUUUGGGGACAUGGUGCUUAUAGAGACAUAGCCUUAUGGGGACAUGGCCUUAUGGGGACAUGGUGCUUAUAGAGAGACAUAGCCUUAUGGGGACAUGGCCUUAUGGGGACAUGGUGCUUAUAGAGAAACAUAGCCUUAUGGGGACAUGGUGCUUAGCACUCCCUCUUAAGGCCUAAUAACACAGUGCAGAAAUACAAUAUGGUGCUUUACAGUAGAUUGAGGUUGGAAAAGGGAUAAGACUGCAGACAAUCAUCUUUGAAGAGGACCGACAGUCAUCAGACCACAUUAUGGGAAUUACGCCACAUUAUGGUCUUCAUCAGAAUUUGACCAUGUGUGUCUUUUAUAGAGGAGAGAUUUGAUUCUAAGGACAUUGUGCAAGUUUUUUUCAACAAAAAAAAACCCAAUGUUGUGCCAAGAUUGACAAUUCAUGUUGGCGUUCUUUCUUUGGGUUUUGUAGUCAGAGUCAUGAUUGGAUGUUAUUGAUACAUGCUGACUGAUAACUUUUGAAGUGAAAGCCAUAUAACACUCAAUCCACAAAAACUGCAGGGGCCAUACUUAUGAUUUAGCAUGUUAGCAGCUAACAAGGAUGGAUUUUAACCUGAAGGGACCCAUACUUAUGAUUUAGCAUGUUAGCGGCUAACUAGCACAGGUUUAAACCUGAAAGACCCAUACUUCUGAUUUAGCAUGUUAGCGGCUAACAAGCACAGGUUUAAACCUGAAAGACCCAUACUUCUGAUUUAGCAUGUUAGCAGCUAACAAGCACAGGUUUAAACCCGAAAGACCCAUACUUCUGAUUUAGCAUGUUAGCAGCUAACUAGCACAGGUUUAAACCUGCAGGUAACAUCUUUAGCAGCUUUUCGCAUUUCCAAUUAGAAAACAUGUCUUACUUGGGAACUCUAACUGGCUCUUAAUCAAAACAAAGGAACAGUUCACUCUUUAUUUAUGUCAAAUGAACACAUGGUCAAAUUAAAGAAACGCUUCAAGAGGAAGUUGUAGUUUUCUACCAGCUCUGAUACUGUACCUAUAAAUAGAUCAAACUAAUACUUUUAACCUUAACAGUGUUCCUCACAAACUAAACCAGGGUCGUAUUCAUUAGUGCACAUCGUAGGAAAAACAUUUAACAAGGGAAAAAUGAAAAUGAGUUUCUUAUUGGACAGAUUCAAGUAGUCCCUCCCUGUUUCAGUCCAUUUUCAUCCAUUGGGUGACUAACACAACCCAGUUCCCUCUCCUCCCUCUAUUCUUCCAAUAUAAUGUGCUUCCUUCUUGUUCACAUGGCUGAUAUUGGUUUGUUCUGAGUAUUUAUAUAAUCUCCCUGUUUUUAUUUUUUAUCCUGUUUGUACAUAUGAAUAUUAAACAGCCUUGUCAUUUUCCAAUACAUAUUUGAUCAAUAAUUUUAAAUGCAAUUUUUAAUAAAAUUAUAAUAAAAUAAAAAUCUUGUUGUGAUAUUAUUCAGUGACAGAACAGAAGAGAGGUACUUGUUACCAGAGUAAUCAUAGGCAAAAACUUCAAAUUUGUAUAUAUUUGUGUGCAGCUAUAUUAGAUUCUAGUAACGUAUCAGUUUUGUCAUGGACUGGACAGCUGUCUCUAUACCAUCGUUCCUGUUCUAUACCAAACAUUACAUACAACACACACAACUAAGAGAAAAAAAUGCAAAAUUCCCAAGUUAACACAGUUGGAAGAUUCUGGGAAUAUUUUUUAUUUAAUUUUUUUUAACUAGGCAAGUCAGUUAAGAACAAAUUCUUAUUUACAGUGACGGCCUAAACCGGGCCAAACCCGGACGACGCCGGGCCAAUUGUGCUUCGCCCUAUGGGACUCCCACUCACGGCCGGGUUAUGAUACAGCCUGGAUUCUGACUCCUCAAGCACCGAGAUGCUGCGCCACUCAGGUGCCCCAAUCAUGAGGGAACAAGAACAUCCUCCAAACAGGAUCUCCAAAACAACUGGGACAGGAAGAAAAAUCAUUACAUUUCUCUACAACGAAAAUGUUGUAAAAAUCAGAGAGAAUCAAAACGUCCUCUCCCCUCCUCCGGGUCUCUCAAUUCACAGGUUGUAAAAUCUCUCAAAAUCAUGGACAGAAACAAAAUAUUUUACAGCAGUUUUAAUGAGAACAGACUUUCAUAUGCAAACCAGUGACCGUUACGGUCUGAGAAAAUAGCUCAUUUGAACUUGUAAUUUACAUGGAUAUUUUGAUGGAUUUGUGGAACAAAAAAAAAUGGGUUGCUUUUUGUAUGAACAUAACAUAUUGUACUGUACUACAGCUCUCGGGGAUAGCAUCCCAAAUGGCACCCUAUUCCCUAUAUAGUGCACUACUUUAGACCAGGAACCUAUGGACCCUAAAAGUAGUGCACUAUAUAGGGAAUAGGGCGCCAUUUGGGAUGCUCCCCUACUCUGAGACGUUUCACACCCAGUGUCCACUGAGCACACUGCAGGCCAAACGCAGUGUCCACUGAGCACACUGCAGGCCAAACGCAGUGUCCACUGAGCACACUGCAGGCCAAACGCA